Long non-coding RNA from Orbicella faveolata, 2038 nucleotides. The record is from RefSeq and is a predicted model, not a curated record. Lineage: Eukaryota; Metazoa; Cnidaria; Anthozoa; Scleractinia; Merulinidae.
AAUAGCUUCGGAAAUACGACUUAUAUAGCAAAUCGAACAUUGUCGAAGAAGUCAAUAUCUGGAAAUCCGACUAAUUCGACAAAGAGAACUUCAGUAACCUUCGGUAAUCUCCGCGAAAAUCCGAGUGAUUCGAAAAAAUCGAGUAUACUUCCAAAGAAGAUAAUCUUCGGAUAUUCGGCUAAUUCGGCAAAUGAAACAUCUUUGGCAACCUCUGAGAGAUUCGAAGAGUGUCGAACAUCUUCGGAAAUCCACUAUUUCGGCAAGACGAGCUCUGUCGAAGCAUGUGCAGAAUAUCUUCGGAAAUCCGAGUAGUUGGGAAAAUCGAUUUACUGCCAAAAAAGACCAUCUUCAGAAAUCUGACUAAUUCAGUAAAGAGAACAUCUCUGGUAACCUUUGGUAACCUCUAGGAAAAUCAUACUUUUUCGAGCAUCUUCGGUAAUCCGACUGUCGCUUUUGAGUGGUAUACCGCGGAAUAUCCCACAAGACACUCGUAUUUUCUUAGUAUACACACUCGCCUUAAGGCUGUGUUUAUACCGAAAAAUUCAAAUGACUUGUGGGAUAUAACUAUUCCAUAAGGGAUCACUGUUCCGUCGUUUUGUUACUUUCCAGUAGCAAAAUUCGUACAUUAUUCAUGUCAUCUGGACUGUAGCCCUAAACAAUUCAACCCAGGCAAGUAAGCGGUAGGGCUAUAGCCCUUCCUCCCCCUCCGCGGUCCCUGACUUCAUUUGUGGUUUUGCACAUAUCUUUCAGUAACCUGAAAUGCCAGUCAUCUCCCACCCUCAGCUGAAUCCCCGGGCGAUUAGGCUGAGCGCGGAAGAUGACUGACAUUUGACGCCAUCCUUUCAGCAUCUUCGGAGACCCAGGGGCAGUUAGUCGGGACGACGCGAUAUUUUCGGAUGACGCAACAUUUUCGGGCGAAAGUUUACCUCUUGAUGUAAACUUUCGCUUGAAACUAUCGCGUCGACUAUGACCUUUCAGCUCCCUUUCAGCUAGCGGGAAAGCUUCUUGAGCCGACUGUACCAGAGGAUGAACAGCAGUUUCCUUCUCAAAUUCAAGAUGGCGGACGGUGAGUAGUGUCUUGCAACGAAUGUGUUAAAAAUUGCUAUUUAAAGUAAAACUAGGCCGAAGUAUAAGUCCUCUUAUGUUAUUUUUUCGAAUAAAUUCUAGCUUCCUCUAUGGAAAAGUGCUGGAAAAUGUGCCGUCACUUCCUUCUUGUCUGAAGAGACGGUGAUGGACAAAACACUGACUCCCCAGUCCAUGGACUACCCAAAUGGACUACCCUAAAAUGGACUAACCUUGAAAAUAAUAUUUGAAAUGAGUACUAUUUAUAGCUGCUAGCAUACUUAAAUGACACACAACUUCCGCUUAUGUUCAUCCUGUACAGCCUCUAGCCACCAUUUUGAAUAAUUGUACUUAAAAUAAACAACUGCUGAACAAAAAAUUUCAGGUCAGUCAGAUCAAACUCUUGAAGAAGUGUUAAAAUCUAUCAAGCACGCAAUUCUAGUUGGUAAAGGAGGAGUUUAUGACACAGACAGCAUGGACUCUUUACAACAAAGGAAAGAAGUUGGCAUACUGGAUGGUGACUUAUGUGGAUGAAGUAUUCCAAGGAUGGUGAAUUUAGAGGGAAAAGGUAUACACCAGUGUUGUGCUGGCAAUGAUCAAGCAGUUUCUAUCAGAUGUGUGUUGGGGUGACCUGGGUUGCCAGAUUAUGGAUACACCUCCAGAUUGGUUUUGUUCAAUCCAGGGACAUCUGAUGAGCACAUUACAGUAGUAGAAAUCCUGUGACAUUAUAAUCCAGAUGGAGCAAUUCUUAUCACUACUCCUCAGGAAUGUACAAAUGCAUGCAUUUUCAAAAGCAGGAGGUGAAGCCUUGGCAAAGAGCUAUGAUGCUCCAUUUUUAGGUAAAAAUACUUAUUAACAUCAGUGACUACACAGGAAGGGGGAUAGAGGGGUUAGGGGCAAGCUAGAUCAUGUUUUGUGGAAAAUGGUCUUUUCCCACAAUUUUUUGCACUUGUCUAUAUUAGUAUUUAUAAUAUAG